Antechinus flavipes (yellow-footed antechinus) is the source of this 5552-nucleotide RNA transcript. It is a transcript of the gene named protein-L-isoaspartate (D-aspartate) O-methyltransferase, with no coding region annotated. NCBI's taxonomy places the organism in Eukaryota, Metazoa, Chordata, Mammalia, Dasyuromorphia, Dasyuridae. The transcript has 8 exons. The record is from RefSeq and is a predicted model, not a curated record.
GGGAGAGCUCAUAGCAAAGGCUGGAUGCCCCUGAGUCGGCAGUGGGGGCGGCUGUAAAAAAGAUAGCGUAGGGCCGCUGAGUCAGGCCGGCUUUUUUUUUUUCUCUUUUGCAGCAGCCGCCGCCACCGCCUCCAGCCCCACCCGAGCGACCCUGCCCCGUCACAGAGCGCAUGCGCGCAGUAGGGGAUGUCGGGAGCGCGCAGCGGCCCCGGGGGCAGUAGCAGCAGCGGCGGCGGCGGCAGCGGCAGCGCCGGGGACGCGGACGUUGACGGGGCGGUGUCGGUGUGGGAGGUGGUCGAGUUCCUCGCGAAGCUGCUGGGCACCGCCGCCGCGCUGAAGCUGGUUCUCUACGUGUUCCAGGCGUGCCUCGCGAUGGCCUGGAAGUCCGGCGGGGCCAAUCACUCGGAGCUCAUCCAAAAUCUCCGCAAAAAUGGAAUAAUCAAGUCAGAGAAAGUAUUUGAAGUAAUGCUGGCCACAGACCGUGCUCACUAUGCAAAAUGUAAUCCCUACAUGGAUUCUCCACAAUCAAUAGGUUUCCAAGCAACAAUCAGUGCUCCACACAUGCAUGCAUACGCUCUAGAACUUCUGUUUGAUCAGUUGCAUGAUGGAGCCAAAGCUCUUGAUGUUGGUUCUGGAAGUGGAAUCCUUACUGCCUGCUUUGCCCGUAUGGUUGGUGCUACUGGAAAAGUCAUAGGAAUCGAUCAUAUCAAGGAGUUAGUAGAUGAUUCAAUAAGUAACGUCAAAAAGGAUGAUCCAACAUUUUUGUCUUCAGGACGAGUCAAACUAGUUGUGGGAGAUGGAAGAUUGGGAUACUCCGAAGAAGCUCCCUACGAUGCUAUUCAUGUAGGAGCUGCAGCUCCAGUUGUGCCCCAAGCACUAAUAGAUCAGUUGAAGCCUGGUGGAAGAUUGAUUUUACCAGUUGGUCCUGCAGGUGGAAAUCAGAUGCUGGAACAAUAUGACAAACUACAAGAUGGCAGCGUCAAAAUGAAGCCUCUGAUGGGGGUGAUAUACGUGCCUUUAACAGAUAAAGAGAAGCAGUGGUCCAGGUGGAAGUGAUUAUCAAUUCCACUCUUUCUUCUUCCACACGUACAAGGUGAAAGGGUGUGGAUUUUAAGCAGUUAGACUACACGGGCUACUUUUGGUCACUUUUCUGCUACUCCAUGCUUUGAAAAGUAGUCCUCUGCGUUAUGACAUCAUGAAUUUGUAACAUUAAAAAUGGAGAAAAAUCAUUGCAUGGUCUGUACUUCUUUUGUUUACCUCAUAGUUUUGGAAAAUUGGGGAGGGAUGUGGUAGCAUAAAGGGAUCUAUGCAAUUAUCUUUUAGAGACUUUCAUAUUUCCUUGGAGUUAAAUGCCAUAGUGAAGUCAAGCACAAGGAUAAAAACUUAGGUAUCAAACUUAGGUUGAUACUUAGGUAUCAAACAUUAUAGGCUUUAUCAAGCUGGCAUGUAGGUUAUUUUGGUUUUGACCAUUUAAUCAUUUUAUCAUUUUAAUAAUAAUUACUACUUAUUCAUAUGGUGUUUUAAAGUUUGCAUAGUAUAUAUUUUGCCACAAUUCUGAGAAGUAGUUCAUAUAAAUUUGACUUCCCCUACUUAACAGAUAAAGAAUGGAAGUUCUGAGAGGUUAAUUGAUUUGUCCAUGAUCCAUUAGGGUCAGAUUGCAGGUCUCUUGAUCCUCAUCCAGCCCUCUGUCCCCUUAGCCCUGCUUCCUAAACUCCUGACUUGGAGAGAGAGAACCAGUUUGGUUUGAGUCAAUGCUGAAUCUCCCAAUUCCAAAACUUUUAUUAGUCAGGUUUUCAGGAAUGAGUCAGAGCUUAGUUCAGUCUUCCUUGUAUCCACAAUGGGAUAUAGUCCACCAUGAACUGCUUUGGUUUCCUCACCUGGUUGUGAUUAAAGUAAUCUUGCCUUGAACUACAGGUCAAUCUAAUUCCAGGCUUAGAAAGGAUAACUCUUAACAGUAGCCUUGUUGCUGUUGACAGUUGUACUAAUAGUAAUAUGUCAUAUGUCAUAUAAUCAUGCAAAAUAAGCCUGUCAGCAGUUCCAUUUGAUUCUGGUAUAUAAUGCAACUAUAUAAAAUUUAGUAAGAAAUAUGCAAAUAAUGCUCUCAUUAAAUCACUGAAACUUGAUGAGUAGUAGAAUUUUGUUUUUCACUUGUCAAAAAAUCAAUUUUCAUUUUUUUCUCCUGGGGAAACUCACACAAUUAAUACUUUGCUGUCUAGAAUUUUAAAAAGGAAGACACUACAGUUUUUUUUUUUUAAAGAGUAUAAUUUUGAAGACCUUCAAACAAAACCAGUUUUAAAGGACUUAAGUAAAAGGGAAGGUACUGGAUUAUAACAAAAUUGUAGGAUGUUAUAGUAAUUGCUAUUUAAAAGAGUAUAUGUAUUUACUAUGGAAAUGUUCUGUAUUUCUUGGGAAUUAUUUUAUUUCUUUUUUUUCAGUUCCUUGUGUAUAUUUUAUUUUCAUUUAAUAGUAUUUUAUUUUUCUCAAUUACGUUUUCAACUCAAGAUUUUGAAUUCCAAAUUUUUGAGUUUCAAAUUAACAUGACAUGUACAGUCAUGUUAAACAAAUUUUGGAGGAUAAUUUUUUAAAAAUUAUAGUUCAUUUUUUGUUAGAUCUGUAUUUGAUAUUUUUGUUUAAAUAAGUGCAUUUUCUUGAAACAAAAACUGUAGUUCAAAAUACAGUAUAGUUUAAAUAUAACUUUGGGAUUUAGAGUAUAUUACAAAGAUAAAAUCAAACCUACAAAUCAAAUUCUGUGGGUUAAGAAAAGAAAAGGUUUUCUUUUUCAGUUUGUAUUUUUGAGGGGGGUAAUAUUAUAAACUACUUUGUAAAUAUUGAGAACAGUGAAUUUGUUGUCUAUAUUUGUGGCCAAAUGUGCCCAUGCUUCUUAUUAAAAAUCUAGGUCUGGAACAAACCUAGAUAGAUCAUACCAUUUGGUUUUUUCCCUUUCUGCCUCUUUUUAGGCAGAGCCAUAUUUGACCCAUCCAUGUUAGAUAAGGCUCCUUCCCUAUUUUAAAAAGAUAUUCUGAAGAAAGAGUGCUUGUUAACCCUUUUUUGGACUCGAGUGUUUAGCAAUCUUCACUGUGAAAUUUUUUUAACUUUCUGUUUGGUUUAAAGUUCAGAUGUGCUUUUAAAAAAAUUACAAACAUUUCUCUAUAUUUACAUUCUCUUCUUCCCACUGACCUAGUAAAUUUUCUGUUUAUAACCAAGAACUCAUGGUUCUCCAACAAAGAGGGGAGGAGAAGAGGGUACAUAUCCUUUUUUCUGAGACCAAGAUUGGUUAUUAUAAUCAUAACAAUGGCUGCUUCUGCUGUGGUUUUGAUGAAAUUCUUAUUUUUUCAUGGAUAUUGAAAAGUUAAUAAUUAUACUUUAGUUGUUCUUAAUGCCCUUCAUGUUCCUGCAAAUGAUAAAUUUGGUUCUUUAGCAUUUUUUUUUCCUCAAACUUUUACAUAUAAGUAAUAAAGAACUGGGAUGGAAUACUCUAGAGAGUACUGACUUUGUUUGCUAGAUGCUUUAAUUUGAGUCCUGGCUACCACUAAUUUCCUAUCUGUAAACCUGUUUCCCAAUAGUCAUAGUAUCUAAGAAUGAGAUGUAAUAUCUGCAGAGUGCUUAGUAUAGUGCCUUGCACAUGGAAAAUGCUUAAUAGUUAAUUUCAGUUUCUUCCCUUUACUUAUAGAGGGUGCUGAUGGUUUUAGUGGAUAAAGUGCUGGAUCUGGAAUCAGAAGACUUGAGUUCAAAUUCAACCUUAGACACCUGCUAGUUGUGGGACCCUGAGCAAGUCACUUAAUCCUGUUUGCUUCAGUUUCCUCAUUUUUAAAGUGAGGAUGAUAAUAGCAACUACAGGGAAUACUUUAUUCUCUUCUCCUGUACCAGCUUCAGUGGAUUGUUUGUAUCAAAUGAGAAUGUAUGUCAAGGACUUUAAUUAUAAAAUGCUAUAUAAAUGUCAGCUAUUAUUAUUCUUAAUUAUGUAAAGAGUAUUUUCUCUGUAGUAACUAUAUUGGAAGGCCAAAAUCAAGGAAUUUCUCAUGCAUGCCUAAGUAGGGAAUAAAUUAUAGUGGAAAAACAAGCUUAAAAAAAGGCACAUGGAUUCAAGCUUUGUAUGUUGAAAGAAGCCCUUGGGUUUUUGGUUAGUAUCAGAAGAAAAGAAUGCCAAAUUAGUAACUUUCUAGUUGAGUCCCUAACACAUUUACCUUUAACACAUUUCUCAAACUAACAUUUAAAAUAAAAUACCAUGCCAGGUACAAAAUUAGUGUCUUGUCAAUGAUAUAGACUUAUAUCUGGGUUGAAAAAUUAAGGGGUGCUUCAUGGUGAUUCCGCUUCUGAGUUGGAAAUUCAUAGAGUGUAGACAAAUGUUUUAUUCUAAAAAUUUACUCUUUCCAAUGUACUGAAGAGUUAAUAGAUCAAAGUUUUUGACCAGCUGGAAAGCAAUUUUUCAUUUGUUUUGUUAUACUUAUUUAAUUUAGGAAUGCCUUUUGUUUCUUUUGGAUUUCAAUGCAUCAUCCGGUGUUUUGCAAAGAAUGGAUCCUGAAUAAAUAUUGAUCUGACUGGAAGAAUUCAUUGAAUUCCAUGCAUUAAUUUCAUCAUGAUUUUUUGGUUAUGGGACUUUUAGAAAACAUUUAAUACUGAGAGUUUUUGUUUUUGUUUUUGUUUUUUGUUUGUUUUUUGUACUUUGAAGGUCCCCUGCAAAAGAUGCAAAGUAUAAUUAAUUAACAUGGGAUGAAUUGUAAAAGCUACAUCAACUUGACCCGAAUAUAAUAUUACAGUGGAUCGCUCAUCUCCAGUUCUAAGAGCUUUUUGAAAACCAACAGCAUCACAACUUGUUUCGAACUUUGUCACACUGUUAUAAUCAGCAUGAAAAUGCGUGGUUUUGUGGGUUUCCAGUUCUUUUAAAGAAGCACAGAGUCAAUCUAGUAGAAAGGGAGGCACAGAGUAUACAUUUGUGCAUUGUUAAUUUUAACAUGCCUGCAUUUUAUGUUCAUCUAUUUACAGAAGGGGAUUUCUGCAAAUCAUGAAAAACAUAGCUUGUGAAUUCCGAUAUUGACUUUGGGGGGGAGGGAGGUUGAUUUUUUUCUCUUCUCGGGUCCUUAAUUUAGCUCCAAUAUAUUCAUUGAUCAGAUUGCUUCUGUGCAUCUAAUGACACUAUUUAUAACAUCAAGUUUUCUGUAUUCAGAUGAUUGUUAGAUGCUAUUAAGAAAAUAGAGAUGAGCUUCCUUUUUAAAGCUUUUGAUGUGGUGUCAUAGAAUAGCAUGUAGUAGAUACAAUCAAUCAGCUGCUUUGUUACCUUUAAAACCAGGCAUUUGUAUAUAUGAAACUUCAAGAGAUCAAAGGUGAUAUCUCUUAUACACUUGGCUGUUCAGAUUGGACAUAACUGACAUAGUUCCCCUUGAUAUUUCCUCUUUUGAAAUGACCAGAGACUUGUAGCUCAGUAUUGUUUUUCUUGUUUGUAAUUCAUUGCUGAUAAUGUAUAUGAAUUUAACAUGCUGUGUAAGCUGUGUCCUAGUUACUGAACAGUUUAUGCAGUGCUGCUUUGCCAAAUAAAGUUAAAAGCAAAAACAGAA